This 439-nucleotide ribosomal RNA is filed under the name uncultured bacterium. RNAcentral describes it as "partial 16S ribosomal RNA". It matches the Rfam family "Bacterial small subunit ribosomal RNA", at positions 338 to 795 of the family's 1533-position model. The record is from RNAcentral.
CCUACGGGAGGCAGCAGUGGGGAAUAUUGCACAAUGGGCGAAAGCCUGAUGCAGCAACGCCGCGUGAGCGAUGAAGGCCUUCGGGUCGUAAAGCUCUGUCCUCAAGGAAGAUAAUGACGGUACUUGAGGAGGAAGCCCCGUCUAACUACGUGCCAGCAGCCGCGGUAAUACGUAGGGGGCUAGCGUUAUCCGGAAUUACUGGGCGUAAAGGGUGCGUAGGUGGUUUCUUAAGUCAGAGGUAAAAGGGUACGGCUCAACCGUAGUAAGCAGUUGAAACGGGGGAACUUGAGUGCAGGAGAGGGAGGUGGAAUGCCUGGUGUAGCGGUGAAAUGCGUAGAUAUUAGGAAGAAAAACGGGUGCGAAGGCAGCUCUCUGGACUGUAACUGACACUGAGGCACGAAAGCGUGGGGAGCAAACAGGAUUAGAUACCCGGGUAGUC